RNAcentral lists this ribosomal RNA (2931 nucleotides) under Escherichia coli. RNAcentral's name for it is "23S ribosomal RNA". It matches the Rfam family "Bacterial large subunit ribosomal RNA". Lineage: Bacteria; Pseudomonadati; Pseudomonadota; Gammaproteobacteria; Enterobacterales; Enterobacteriaceae. The record is from RNAcentral.
GGGUUGUGAGGUUAAGCGACUAAGCGUACACGGUGGAUGCCCUGGCAGUCAGAGGCGAUGAAGGACGUGCUAAUCUGCGAUAAGCGUCGGUAAGGUGAUAUGAACCGUUAUAACCGGCGAUUUCCGAAUGGGGAAACCCAGUGUGUUUCGACACACUAUCAUUAACUGAAUCCAUAGGUUAAUGAGGCGAACCGGGGGAACUGAAACAUCUAAGUACCCCGAGGAAAAGAAAUCAACCGAGAUUCCCCCAGUAGCGGCGAGCGAACGGGGAGCAGCCCAGAGCCUGAAUCAGUGUGUGUGUUAGUGGAAGCGUCUGGAAAGGCGCGCGAUACAGGGUGACAGCCCCGUACACAAAAAUGCACAUGCUGUGAGCUCGAUGAGUAGGGCGGGACACGUGGUAUCCUGUCUGAAUAUGGGGGGACCAUCCUCCAAGGCUAAAUACUCCUGACUGACCGAUAGUGAACCAGUACCGUGAGGGAAAGGCGAAAAGAACCCCGGCGAGGGGAGUGAAAAAGAACCUGAAACCGUGUACGUACAAGCAGUGGGAGCACGCUUAGGCGUGUGACUGCGUACCUUUUGUAUAAUGGGUCAGCGACUUAUAUUCUGUAGCAAGGUUAACCGAAUAGGGGAGCCGAAGGGAAACCGAGUCUUAACUGGGCGUUAAGUUGCAGGGUAUAGACCCGAAACCCGGUGAUCUAGCCAUGGGCAGGUUGAAGGUUGGGUAACACUAACUGGAGGACCGAACCGACUAAUGUUGAAAAAUUAGCGGAUGACUUGUGGCUGGGGGUGAAAGGCCAAUCAAACCGGGAGAUAGCUGGUUCUCCCCGAAAGCUAUUUAGGUAGCGCCUCGUGAAUUCAUCUCCGGGGGUAGAGCACUGUUUCGGCAAGGGGGUCAUCCCGACUUACCAACCCGAUGCAAACUGCGAAUACCGGAGAAUGUUAUCACGGGAGACACACGGCGGGUGCUAACGUCCGUCGUGAAGAGGGAAACAACCCAGACCGCCAGCUAAGGUCCCAAAGUCAUGGUUAAGUGGGAAACGAUGUGGGAAGGCCCAGACAGCCAGGAUGUUGGCUUAGAAGCAGCCAUCAUUUAAAGAAAGCGUAAUAGCUCACUGGUCGAGUCGGCCUGCGCGGAAGAUGUAACGGGGCUAAACCAUGCACCGAAGCUGCGGCAGCGACACUAUGUGUUGUUGGGUAGGGGAGCGUUCUGUAAGCCUGUGAAGGUGUGCUGUGAGGCAUGCUGGAGGUAUCAGAAGUGCGAAUGCUGACAUAAGUAACGAUAAAGCGGGUGAAAAGCCCGCUCGCCGGAAGACCAAGGGUUCCUGUCCAACGUUAAUCGGGGCAGGGUGAGUCGACCCCUAAGGCGAGGCCGAAAGGCGUAGUCGAUGGGAAACAGGUUAAUAUUCCUGUACUUGGUGUUACUGCGAAGGGGGGACGGAGAAGGCUAUGUUGGCCGGGCGACGGUUGUCCCGGUUUAAGCGUGUAGGCUGGUUUUCCAGGCAAAUCCGGAAAAUCAAGGCUGAGGCGUGAUGACGAGGCACUACGGUGCUGAAGCAACAAAUGCCCUGCUUCCAGGAAAAGCCUCUAAGCAUCAGGUAACAUCAAAUCGUACCCCAAACCGACACAGGUGGUCAGGUAGAGAAUACCAAGGCGCUUGAGAGAACUCGGGUGAAGGAACUAGGCAAAAUGGUGCCGUAACUUCGGGAGAAGGCACGCUGAUAUGUAGGUGAAGUCCCUCGCGGAUGGAGCUGAAAUCAGUCGAAGAUACCAGCUGGCUGCAACUGUUUAUUAAAAACACAGCACUGUGCAAACACGAAAGUGGACGUAUACGGUGUGACGCCUGCCCGGUGCCGGAAGGUUAAUUGAUGGGGUUAGCGGUAACGCGAAGCUCUUGAUCGAAGCCCCGGUAAACGGCGGCCGUAACUAUAACGGUCCUAAGGUAGCGAAAUUCCUUGUCGGGUAAGUUCCGACCUGCACGAAUGGCGUAAUGAUGGCCAGGCUGUCUCCACCCGAGACUCAGUGAAAUUGAACUCGCUGUGAAGAUGCAGUGUACCCGCGGCAAGACGGAAAGACCCCGUGAACCUUUACUAUAGCUUGACACUGAACAUUGAGCCUUGAUGUGUAGGAUAGGUGGGAGGCUUUGAAGUGUGGACGCCAGUCUGCAUGGAGCCGACCUUGAAAUACCACCCUUUAAUGUUUGAUGUUCUAACGUUGACCCGUAAUCCGGGUUGCGGACAGUGUCUGGUGGGUAGUUUGACUGGGGCGGUCUCCUCCUAAAGAGUAACGGAGGAGCACGAAGGUUGGCUAAUCCUGGUCGGACAUCAGGAGGUUAGUGCAAUGGCAUAAGCCAGCUUGACUGCGAGCGUGACGGCGCGAGCAGGUGCGAAAGCAGGUCAUAGUGAUCCGGUGGUUCUGAAUGGAAGGGCCAUCGCUCAACGGAUAAAAGGUACUCCGGGGAUAACAGGCUGAUACCGCCCAAGAGUUCAUAUCGACGGCGGUGUUUGGCACCUCGAUGUCGGCUCAUCACAUCCUGGGGCUGAAGUAGGUCCCAAGGGUAUGGCUGUUCGCCAUUUAAAGUGGUACGCGAGCUGGGUUUAGAACGUCGUGAGACAGUUCGGUCCCUAUCUGCCGUGGGCGCUGGAGAACUGAGGGGGGCUGCUCCUAGUACGAGAGGACCGGAGUGGACGCAUCACUGGUGUUCGGGUUGUCAUGCCAAUGGCACUGCCCGGUAGCUAAAUGCGGAAGAGAUAAGUGCUGAAAGCAUCUAAGCACGAAACUUGCCCCGAGAUGAGUUCUCCCUGACCCUUUAAGGGUCCUGAAGGAACGUUGAAGACGACGACGUUGAUAGGCCGGGUGUGUAAGCGCAGCGAUGCGUUGAGCUAACCGGUACUAAUGAACCGUGAGGCUUAACCUUACAACGCCGAAGCUGUU